Molecule: ribosomal RNA, 257 nt
Filed under: uncultured prokaryote
Description: partial 16S ribosomal RNA
Rfam family: Bacterial small subunit ribosomal RNA
Source: RNAcentral
AACGGAGGGGUCAAGUGUAAUUCUAAUUGAAUGGGUGUAUGGGGUACGUAGACGGUUCUUUAAGUCGAGCUAUACAAAUAACGCCCUGGGGUCCGAAAGUAUUCUCGAAACUGGUGUAACUAGAGAUAAUCACGAUGUUUAGGGUACGCCAGACGUAUGGGUGGAAUGACUCGAUUACUGGAGGACCAACAAUUAAGCGCAAGCGCUAAACAAGGCUUAUCUGACGUUGAGGUACGAAAGCAUGGGGAUCAAACAGG